RNAcentral lists this transfer RNA (74 nucleotides) under Henningerozyma blattae CBS 6284. RNAcentral's name for it is "Tetrapisispora blattae CBS 6284 tRNA-Pro". It matches the Rfam family "tRNA". From Rfam's summary of the family: Transfer RNA (tRNA) molecules are approximately 80 nucleotides in length. The record is from RNAcentral. Lineage: Eukaryota; Fungi; Ascomycota; Saccharomycetes; Saccharomycetales; Saccharomycetaceae.
GGGCGUGUGGUCUAGUGGUAUGAUUCUCGCUUUGGGAUUGCGAGAGGCCCUGGGUUCAAUUCCCAGCUCGCCCC